This 528-nucleotide ribosomal RNA is filed under the name Boophis periegetes. RNAcentral's name for it is "partial 16S ribosomal RNA". The stretch from base 1 to 391 matches the Rfam family "Bacterial large subunit ribosomal RNA", at positions 722 to 1300 of the family's 2925-position model. Lineage: Eukaryota; Metazoa; Chordata; Amphibia; Anura; Mantellidae. The record is from RNAcentral.
UAAGUGAGCUACUUUAAAACAGCCUUUAGAGCUAACCCGUCUCUGUCGCAAAAGAGUGGGAUGAUUUUAAAGUAGAGGCGAUAAACCUACCGAACUUAGAAAUAGCUGGUUUUUUAAGAAAAGAAUUUUAGUUCAGCCCCAAGCCUCUCCGUUAAACAAAAACCAUCUUAGGCCUGGGAGUUAUUCAAAUAAGGCACAGCUUAUUUGAAACAGGAUACAACCUAGAAUAUAGGGUAAGACACACGAUAUUUUUAACAAGUGGGCCCAAAAGCAGCCACCUUCUAAAAAGCGUCAAAGCUUAGUAAUAACAGUUUUCCCAAUAACUGCAAUAACUUCUAACCCAUACCCCCUAUUAAAUAACCCCAUAAAUUUAUGGAAGCUAUUAUGCUAGAACAAGUAACAAGAAAAAGAUUUUUCUCCAAAAUGUAAGCUUUAGCCGCAAUAGACAACCUACCGGCAAUUAACGACUCUAAACCAAUUAUAGUAACGCCAGCAAGAAAACUCUAUAAACCCCAUCGUCAACCUCAC